AUUUUGGACAAUGGGGGAAACCCUCAUCCAGCCAUCCCGCGUGUAUGAUGAAGGCCUUCGGGUUGGAUAGUACUUUUGGCAGAGAAGAAAAGGUAUCUCCUAAUACGAUAUACUCCUGACGGUAUCUGCAGAAGAAGCACCGGAGAAUUACGUUCCAGCUGCCGCGGUAAUACGUAGGGUGCAAGCGUUAAGCGGAAUUACUGGGCGUAAAGCGUGUGUAGGCGGUUCGGAAAGAAAGAUGUGAGAUCCCAGGGCUCAACCUUGGAACUGCAUUUUUAACUGCCGAGCUAGAGUAUGUCAGAGGGGGGUAGAGUUCCACGUGUAGCAGUGAAAUGCGUAGAUAUGUGGAGGAAUACCGAUGGCGAAGGCAGCCCCCUGGGAUAAUACUGACGCUCAGACACGAAAGAGUGGGGAGCAAACAGG
Molecule: ribosomal RNA, 423 nt
Filed under: uncultured bacterium
Lineage: Bacteria
Description: partial 16S ribosomal RNA
Rfam family: Bacterial small subunit ribosomal RNA
Source: RNAcentral